Long non-coding RNA from Entelurus aequoreus (snake pipefish), 161 nucleotides. RefSeq lists it as uncharacterized. The record is from RefSeq and is a predicted model, not a curated record. The transcript is spliced from 3 exons. Lineage: Eukaryota; Metazoa; Chordata; Actinopteri; Syngnathiformes; Syngnathidae.
GUGGAUCUUGGAGCAGAGAAGCGGUGGUCUGCGGGUCAAUAUUGGUGGUCUGGAACUCAGAACAUGACCCUGGAGGCGGAACCACAGGCAGGGCAACAAGGUGGACAAAAGCAUGUAAGGAGAGCGACCAUUUUGCAGACAGCUUGGUGUCUUCUCCAGCU